GGGGAUAUAACUCAGUGGUAGAGUGCUUGCUUUGCAUGCAAUUAUUUCAAUAUUAUCUUCA
This 61-nucleotide transfer RNA is filed under the name Neocallimastix californiae. It matches the Rfam family "tRNA". Rfam says of the family: Transfer RNA (tRNA) molecules are approximately 80 nucleotides in length. Their secondary structure includes four short double-helical elements and three loops (D, anti-codon, and T loops). Lineage: Eukaryota; Fungi; Neocallimastigomycota; Neocallimastigomycetes; Neocallimastigales; Neocallimastigaceae. The record is from Rfam by way of RNAcentral.